Gorilla gorilla gorilla (western lowland gorilla) is the source of this 1006-nucleotide long non-coding RNA. RefSeq lists it as uncharacterized. The record is from RefSeq and is a predicted model, not a curated record. Lineage: Eukaryota; Metazoa; Chordata; Mammalia; Primates; Hominidae. The transcript has 6 exons.
GGAACGUUCUGCAUGCUACUCGAGUCAUAGAUACUUGACUCUAUGCCUUUGUCAAAGUCCGUAGAACUGUACACCACAAAGAGUGCACGUAGCAUUGAGCGAAGAAGAUUUAUGGAUUUUAAUUCCAUUUAGCCAUUUUACUGGAAUUUUGGGAAAUAAGUGGACACAAUGCCACUUUUAUCUGCUAUGUUUGCUUGAAGACAACACCAUGCUAUUUUACUGGGCCUCCAUUUUCUCCUCCUUAAUGUGGGGGUUAAUGGCACUAUGGUGAAAUGAACUCAGGACCACAGCCAGGUGUGGAGGAGACAGGACAAGAUGAGAAGGUAAACGUACCUAGUUUGGAUUCCCGGCUCCACUGCAUACUGCCUAGGAAUAAAGAAGGAGUUAGGUAAAUAAUUAUCCUCUUUCUUAUGGGAACAAAGCAUCUGUCUCCCAGAGAGUCCACCCACUGUCCAUUCUUCCACCCAAAGGAGCCAGCAGAGCAAGGAUGAGUCCCUUUCGCUCAUAGAAUGUGGGUGGAAAACUACACAAGUCUUCAGUCCAACCCCCAGCACCCCAGGGGAGUACUGGUACUCAUGCUCUGGAUACCCUGUGCCUCCAGACUCCAUCACACUCCAGCCUUGAGGAGUGUGGGCAGCCACAGCCCACCAUGCUCUUAGACCCAGUUUGCACUCAUGUACUUAGAAGACUGGCACUGAAGAGACCAAUCAUCUCCAACAAAUCUCUAUGAUCACAACAUAAAAUGUAGUUCCUGGAGUUGCUGCCAGGCAUAGUGACGCUUGUGAACUGGGAGGUGUGAAGAUCCACAUGGAGCUUCCAAGGAAAGCUGAGGGUCACAGAAGUGAAGUCAUUUGCCUGUGUUGACAAAGCUGGUCAUGACAGAGUUUGGAUGGGAAUGCAGAGCUUCUUGAUUCAAAAGCCCAUGCUUUGUCUACUGCUUCAGACUUUAGACCAGUGCUGUCCAAUAGAAAUAGAAGGCAAGCCACAAAUAUGAAGCAAAUGUGUC